AAGUCGUAACAAGGUUUCCGUAGGUGAACCUGCGGAAGGAUCAUUAAUAAAAUGUCAAUUCGGCAAAACCGUAAGGUUUUCGUUGGAUAAAACCUGUAUUUAAAACCUUCACUCACUCUUUGUAAAACAUAUUUUAUUAUAAAAAAAAUAAUAAAAAGAUCACUUUCAACAACGGAUCUCUUGGCUCUC
RNAcentral lists this unclassified non-coding RNA (189 nucleotides) under fungal sp. Its description in RNAcentral is "partial internal transcribed spacer region". The stretch from base 1 to 46 matches the Rfam family "Eukaryotic small subunit ribosomal RNA", at positions 1786 to 1831 of the family's 1831-position model. Lineage: Eukaryota; Fungi. The record is from RNAcentral.